Molecule: ribosomal RNA, 175 nt
Filed under: uncultured bacterium
Lineage: Bacteria
Description: partial 16S ribosomal RNA
Rfam family: Bacterial small subunit ribosomal RNA
Source: RNAcentral
CCGUGAAGCUGGAUUCGCUAGUAAUCGCGCAUCAGCCAUGGCGCGGUGAAUACGUUCCCGGGCCUUGUACACACCGCCCGUCAAGCCAUGGGAGCCGGGGGUGCUUGAAGUGCGUCGCCGCAAGGCGCGCCCUAGAGCAAAACCGGUGACUGGGGCUAAGUCGUAACAAGGUACC